CAGUAUUUAGUUUAUAAAAAAUAUAAUAUUUGGGUUAUUAAGAAUUUUGCUGAA
This 54-nucleotide transfer RNA is filed under the name Mecistocirrus digitatus. RNAcentral describes it as "tRNA-Pro". Lineage: Eukaryota; Metazoa; Nematoda; Chromadorea; Rhabditida; Trichostrongylidae. The record is from RNAcentral.